Molecule: long non-coding RNA, 700 nt
Filed under: Catharus ustulatus (Swainson's thrush)
Lineage: Eukaryota; Metazoa; Chordata; Aves; Passeriformes; Turdidae
Description: lncRNA (ENSCUSG00005001877.1)
Source: RNAcentral
GGCGGAGCCGCGCUGGGGCGGCCCGGGAGCUCCCGGUGCCCGGCCCGAGCCCUCCCGGCCCCGGGGGAUCCCGGCUGGGCGCCGGGACACGGCAGCGCCGGGACAGGGCAGCGCCGGUCCCCGCCGCGGUCUCGCCGCUCGGGAUGGCCGCUGUGAAGAGUCCGGCCGGGCAGCAGAGAGGAGCGGGCAGCGCCGCUGAGUCCCGGCUGCUGCUUUAAAGCCCGGGCAAAGUGAACAGAGAGUGUUGCAGGCGGUUUAAUAAAAUAAAAGCGCCCGCUGGGUGCUACUGGAAAAGAGCUCAACUCCCUUCCUUAAAAAAAUCGUCAUGUUCGACUCUCGCCAGCUCCUGGCCAAAAGGGAGCGGAGGAAUUGUAAACCGGGAGAAGCAGCAGGAGCAAAACGUUUCAUUAAAAAGCAAAAGGAAUAAUGCGAAAGAGCGGUUAUGUUGAUCGACUCAUCUGUGCUGUGCCACGGAAGGCAGUUCUCUCUGCAGGGGAACCUGUCACCUGAGGAAGCUGAGGCAGCAAAAAUACUAGAAGGAACUGGUCUAAGAGAAUUGAUGGUAGAAUGGUGGUUGAUGGUGGAAAUUACUAUCCUGACUGGCUUACAGCAAAACGUCCUUGAUUUUUGGAUUCCAGAAGUCAAAGUGUUAUGCCUCAUAGUACCUAUUAUUCCAGUGGCUAGAACUAAGAUAGAAUGA